This 167-nucleotide unclassified non-coding RNA is filed under the name fungal sp. RNAcentral's name for it is "partial internal transcribed spacer region". The stretch from base 1 to 46 matches the Rfam family "Eukaryotic small subunit ribosomal RNA", at positions 1786 to 1831 of the family's 1831-position model. Lineage: Eukaryota; Fungi. The record is from RNAcentral.
AAGUCGUAACAAGGUUUCCGUAGGUGAACCUGCGGAAGGAUCAUUUCCAAAUGAAUGAGGGUGAUAGUACCGAAAGGUGCUAUCUCUUCUAUAUCAACCUGUUGUAUUGUAUGUCAAAAUAAGGCCCUAAUAACAAACAACUUUUAACAAUGGAUCUCUUGGCUCUU